GAUGAACGCUGGCGGCGUGCCUAAUACAUGCAAGUCGAGCGAACGGACGAGAAGCUUGCUUUUCUGAUGUUAGCGGCGGACGGGUGAGUAACACGUGGAUAACCUACCUAUAAGACUGGGAUAACUUCGGGAAACCGGAGCUAAUACCGGAUAAUAUUUUGAACCGCAUGGUUCAAAAGUGAAAGACGGUCUUGCUGUCACUUAUAGAUGGAUCCGCGCUGCAUUAGCUAGUUGGUAAGGUAACGGCUUACCAAGGCAACGAUGCAUAGCCGACCUGAGAGAGUGGUCGGCCGCACUAGAACUGAAACACGGUCCAGACUCCUACGGGAGGCAGCAGUAGGGAAUCUUCCGCAAUGGGCGAAAGCCUGACGGAGCAGCGCCGCGUGAGUGGUAAAGGUCUUCGGAUCGUAAAACUCUGUUAUUAGGGAAGAACAUAUGUGUAAGUAACUGUGCACAUCUUGACGGUACCUAAUCAGAAAGCCACGGCUAACUACGUG
Molecule: ribosomal RNA, 497 nt
Filed under: uncultured bacterium
Lineage: Bacteria
Description: partial 16S ribosomal RNA
Rfam family: Bacterial small subunit ribosomal RNA
Source: RNAcentral